GACGAACGCUGGCGGCGUGCUUAACACAUGCAAGUCGAACGGAAAGGCCCUGCUUUUGUGGGGUGCUCGAGUGGCGAACGGGUGAGUAACACGUGAGUAACCUGCCCUUUACUUUGGGAUAACUUCAGGAAACUGGGGCUAAUACCGGAUAGGAGCUCCUGCUGCAUGGUGGGGGUUGGAAAGUUUCGGCGGUUGGGGAUGGACUCGCGGCUUAUCAGCUUGUUGGUGGGGUAGUGGCUUACCAAGGCUUUGACGGGUAGCCGGCCUGAGAGGGUGACCGGCCACAUUGGGACUGAGGUAGGGCCCAGACUCCUACGGGGGGCAGCAGUGGGGAAUAUUGCACAAUGGGCGGAAGCCCGAUGCAGCAACGCCGCGUGCGGGAUGACGGCCUUCGGGUUGUAAACCGCUUUCGCCUGUGACGAAGCGUGAGUGACGGUAAUGGGUAAAGAAGCACCGGCUAACUACGUG
Molecule: ribosomal RNA, 468 nt
Filed under: uncultured bacterium
Lineage: Bacteria
Description: partial 16S ribosomal RNA
Rfam family: Bacterial small subunit ribosomal RNA
Source: RNAcentral